RNAcentral lists this unclassified non-coding RNA (508 nucleotides) under Hevea brasiliensis (rubber tree). The record is from RNAcentral. Lineage: Eukaryota; Viridiplantae; Streptophyta; Magnoliopsida; Malpighiales; Euphorbiaceae.
CCCCAAGACGUUGGUCUCUAACUAGAAAAGUAAAUGCUUGAGCUUGAGUGAGAAGGGCCUCCUCCCCCCGCUGAUAUUUUGCCUUUAUGGUGUUUACCGGGUGGGACCCUCGAUCCGGAAGGUAUGCCACUAUCAGCUACUAUCUAUAUAUGUCUGCCUCCCUUGAAAGCUCCCGGUGCUGCGACUAUCACCGGUAAGUUGCGUCGGAUCAACAUCGGGAUUAGAAUCAACUGCAAAAGCAACUAAGUCAACGCCUAUUUGCUCUGGAUCUACUGGCCCGGACGCUUGAAUCUAUUCCACCGCAAACAACCGAAUAUACUACUGUAGGCAAUUACUAUUGCUUCUGUUGUUAUUGCUCUCACCUGUCACUACGCCACCUCAGCAGCUGGGACUGGAACUGCUUCCGCAUCUGGCACUCCCCAACCUUUUCUAUCUAUCCUUAGAAGUAGGAUAAAAAAGUGUAUAAAGACCGGAUUAUCUCUCUGAAUCAGGUUAUUCACUGGGCUGU